GUUAUAUUUCUUGAUAAUCGAGUGUUUGAUCUGACCUAGGAAAAAGUAAGAAAAAAAAACUCUUUAGUAGAGCUGGUUCUAUAACAAAGUUGUGUUUGGGAGCUUGAUUUGGUGAUUAAUAAAGUUGUAGAAGCUUUGGAUAGUUGGUGGGGUGGGUUAUUAGAUUUCUUCACUUUCUUCAUUUGUUGAGACAGCUACAAGAUCAAGGAUCUGCUGAUUUUGGGUAUUUCAUCAAAAUCUGAAAUUGAUAUCUCGAAAGGAAGGUUGAUGUAGUUAUCAAGGUCUUUGGUGAAGUUUGUUCCUGACAAAGUUUGAUCCUUAAAGUUGAUAUUUGUUGAUCUUAUGAUUAUUCAAUCGUCACAUCAAAGCUUCCAACAUUUUGCUAUGUCUAGAUUACGAAGCUCGGAUUUCAGAUUUUGGACUACCUAAGUGGUUCCCAGAGAAUUCGCCUCAUCACAUUGUUUUCCCUAUCGAAGGCACAUUCGGGUCAGACGUUGAAUUCCACAACUACAAUAUCUUUAUGUGAACCUUUCUUCUCGAUGUUUUUUAGUCCAAAACCUGGUUAGUUCUUUGUUUUUUCUUACAGGUUCCAGCUCCAAAGUACUUUAUGCACGUGAUUGUAGAUGAGAAGCCAGAUGUGUUUGCGUUUGGUGUAUUGUUUAUGGAGAUCAUCUUAUACCGAAACAAUGAAUUCUCUACCACGAUGAAGGAAUCUUAUUCCAUGGUGGUGGAAAUACUUCAGUGAGCUUAAAAUUCUUCCACGCGUCUGGGAAUUUAGAAAUAAGACAAAAUAUUUUGCAUGAAGUGAGGAAAGAUAUGAAGUCGAGAGAAGAAGAUUCUCCAACCUUAAUUACCAUGUAUGACACCUAGCAUGUCUUCGGGAAGAGCUAAGAAGGAGUUAUUCAAGUAUUUAUGGAGCCAAGAAGGUUUUAAGAGUUUUUGAGCUUUAAAGACCAAAAGGCGAUCAAAACCCGUUUCAAGACAGUUUCUGUACGUCAGAAGUAUGGAAUCCGUUCGAGGUCUUCCCGGUUACUAAAUCAAGAGAUCUCGGUGGCUAUAGAAAGCUAGAAGAGUCAAGAUUCGCUUCAAAGUGGAAUCAGAGCUUUGCAACAAGUCGUUAGGAAGUUAUGACCAGAAGAGUGAAGACAUGUCCAGACCGGCCAGAAGCUAUGCAACCGAUCUGGAGCUUCUGGGCCACACAUAGGCCACAUGGGCCUAGCCCGUGCUGCGUCUCACUCUCCAGACCGGUCACUAAGACUUCUCCCUUGCAAGAAACUCGAGUUUGCACUUAAACCUAAUCACGGUAACGACGCUUUUACCCCUAGACCUAAUCCUUGGUCUCCAAACCCUAUAAAUACAUGAUGGAAGCCCUAACCCUAUUGUGCCUUCAAAGUGCCUCCACCGUGCCAAUCAAGUCUUCUCUGCCCUCGCCGUGAGCUGCAGCCAUCGCACCUUGAAGCUUUGAAGAAUCACCGAAUCUAUCUCUCUCUUUUCUCUUGUUUACUCUAAGAUCUAUUAAGGUGAAGUCUUACCUCUUGUAUUCUAUAUUCAAAGAAGUAAUCUCUAAACCCUAUUCAGUU
Long non-coding RNA from Arabidopsis lyrata subsp. lyrata, 1580 nucleotides. RefSeq lists it as uncharacterized. The record is from RefSeq and is a predicted model, not a curated record. The transcript has 4 exons. Lineage: Eukaryota; Viridiplantae; Streptophyta; Magnoliopsida; Brassicales; Brassicaceae.